GCCCAGUCGUAAACUUUUACUUACAUUUUAAUCGCCAGGGAACUACGAGCUAAGCUUAAAACCCAAAGGACUUGACGGUACCCCACAUCCCCCUAGAGGAGCCUGUCCUAUAAUCGAUAAUCCACGUUUAACCUCACCAUUUUUAGUUAAUCAGCCUGUAUACCUCCGUCGUCAGCUUACCACGUGAGCGCCAAUUAGUGAGCCUAAUGUUAUUUCACCCACACGUCAGGUCAAGGUGCAGCAAAUGAAAUGGGAAGAGAUGGGCUACACUUUCUACUAUAGAAGAAACGAAAAACUACCUAUGAAACCUAGUUGGAAGGCGGAUUUAGCAGUAAAAAGGAAUCAGCAUAUCCAUUUUAAUCCGGCACUGGGGUGUGU
RNAcentral lists this ribosomal RNA (378 nucleotides) under Sclerophrys cf. gracilipes HCL-2014. RNAcentral's name for it is "partial 12S ribosomal RNA". It matches the Rfam family "Bacterial small subunit ribosomal RNA", at positions 794 to 1384 of the family's 1533-position model. Lineage: Eukaryota; Metazoa; Chordata; Amphibia; Anura; Bufonidae. The record is from RNAcentral.